This 522-nucleotide ribosomal RNA is filed under the name uncultured bacterium. RNAcentral describes it as "bacterial SSU rRNA". It matches the Rfam family "Bacterial small subunit ribosomal RNA", at positions 501 to 1023 of the family's 1533-position model. The record is from RNAcentral.
CUACGUGCCAGCAGCCGCGGUAAUACGGAGGGUGCGAGCGUUAAUCGGAAUAACUGGGCGUAAAGGGCACGCAGGCGGCUAUUUAAGUGAGGUGUGAAAUCCCCGGGCUUAACCUGGGAAUUGCAUUUCAGACUGGGUAGCUAGAGUACUUUAGGGAGGGGUAGAAUUCCACGUGUAGCGGUGAAAUGCGUAGAGAUGUGGAGGAAUACCGAAGGCGAAGGCAGCCCCUUGGGAAUGUACUGACGCUCAUGUGCGAAAGCGUGGGGAGCAAACAGGAUUAGAUACCCUGGUAGUCCACGCUGUAAACGCUGUCGAUUUGGGGAUUGGGCUUUAAGCUUGGUGCCCGUAGCUAACGUGAUAAAUCGACCGCCUGGGGAGUACGGCCGCAAGGUUAGAACUCAAAUGAAUUGACGGGGGCCCGCACAAGCGGUGGAGCAUGUGGUUUAAUUCGAUGCAACGCGAAGAACCUUACCUACUCUUGACAUCCAUGGAAUCUUGUAGAGAUACGGGAGUGCUUCGGGA